AACGCACAUUGCGCCCUGUGGUAUUCCGCAGGGCAUGCCUGUUCGAGCGUCAUUACAACCACUCAAGCCUGGCUUGGUAUUGGGGUUUGCGGUUCCGCAGCCCCUAAAAUCAGUGGCGGUGCCGGUGUGGCUCUACGCGUAGUAAUUCUUCUCGCGAUGGAGUUCCCCUGGAGACCUGCCAGAACCCCCCAAUUUUUACAGGUUGACCUCGGAUCAGGUAGGGAUACCCGCUGAACUUAA
Molecule: unclassified non-coding RNA, 240 nt
Filed under: uncultured fungus
Lineage: Eukaryota; Fungi
Description: sequence contains ITS2
Rfam family: 5.8S ribosomal RNA (bases 1-52)
Source: RNAcentral